GAGUCUAGCAUGUGCGCAAGUCAUUGGGACUCUAACGAAACCUAAAGGCGCAAUGAAAGUGAAGGUCCGCCUAGCGCGGACCGAGGGAGGAUGGGCGGUCCCGCGGGACCGCCUCGCACUCCCGGGGCGUCUCGUUCUCAUCGCGAGAAGAGGCGCACCCAGAGCGUACACGCUGGGACCCGAAAGAUGGUGAACUAUGCCUGGUCAGGACGAAGUCAGGGGAAACCCUGAUGGAGGUCCGUAGCGAUUCUGACGUGCAAAUCGAUCGUCGGAACUGGGUAUAGGGGCGAAAGACUAAUCGAACCAUCUAGUAGCUGGUUCCCUCCGAAGUUUCCCUCAGGAUAGCUGGCGCUCGCUUCUCGCGAGUCUCAUUCGGUAAAGCGAAUGAUUAGAGGCAUUGGGGUCGAAACGGCCUCAACCUAUUCUCAAACUUUAAAUGGGUGAGAUCUCCGGCUUGCUUGAACUGUGAAGCCGCGAGAUAUCGGAUCAGAGUGCCAAGUGGGCCACUUUUGGUAAGCAGAACUGGCGCUGUGGGAUGAACCAAACGCCGAGUUAAAGCGCCUAAAUCGACGCUUAUGGGAUACCAUGAAAGCGUUGGUAACUUAAGACAGCAGGACGGUGGCCAUGGAAGUCGGA
This 636-nucleotide ribosomal RNA is filed under the name Phyllotocus sp. NLG-2014. RNAcentral describes it as "eukaryotic LSU rRNA". It matches the Rfam family "Eukaryotic large subunit ribosomal RNA", at positions 671 to 1265 of the family's 3401-position model. Lineage: Eukaryota; Metazoa; Arthropoda; Insecta; Coleoptera; Scarabaeidae. The record is from RNAcentral.